This 344-nucleotide unclassified non-coding RNA is filed under the name soil metagenome. Its description in RNAcentral is "partial contains 5.8S ribosomal RNA, internal transcribed spacer 2, and large subunit ribosomal RNA". The stretch from base 1 to 119 matches the Rfam family "5.8S ribosomal RNA", at positions 35 to 154 of the family's 154-position model. The record is from RNAcentral.
GAUGAAGAACGUAGCGAAAUGCGAUACGUAAUGUGAAUUGCAAAUUCAGUGAAUCAUCGAGUCUUUGAACGCACAUUGCGCCCCCUGGUAUUCCGGGGGGCAUGCCUGUCCGAGCGUCAUUGCUGCCCUCAAGCACGGCUUGUGUGUUGGGCCCCGUCCUCCGAUCCCGGGGGACGGGCCCGAAAGGCAGCGGCGGCACCGCGUCCGGUCCUCGAGCGUAUGGGGCUUUGUCACCCGCUCUGUAGGCCCGGCCGGCGCUUGCCGAUCAACCCAAAUUUUUAUCCAGGUUGACCUCGGAUCAGGUAGGGAUACCCGCUGUACUUAAGCAUAUCAAUAGCGGAGGA